GAUGAACGCUGGCGGCGUGCCUAAUACAUGCAAGUCGAGCGAACGGACGAGAAGCUUGCUUCUCUGAUGUUAGCGGCGGACGGGCGAGUAACACGUGGAUAACCUACCUCUAAGACUGGGAUAACUUCGGAAAACCGGAGCUAAUACCGGCUAAUAUUUUGAACCGCAUGGUUCAAAAGUGAAAGACGGUCUUGCUGUCACUUAUAGAUGGAUCCGCGCUGCAUUAGCUAGUUGGUAAGGUAACGGCUUACCAAGGCAACGAUGCAUAGCCGACCUGAGAGGAUGAUCGGCCACACUGGAACUGAGACACGGUCCAGACUCCUACGGGAGGCAGCAGUAGGGAAUCUUCCGCAAUGGGCGAAAGCCUGACGGAGCAACGCCGCGUGAGUGAUGAAGGUCUUCGGAUCGUAAAACUCUGUUAUUAGGGAAGAACAUAUGUGUAAGUAACUGUGCACAUCUUGACGGUACCUAAUCAGAAAGCCACGGCUAACUACGUG
This 497-nucleotide ribosomal RNA is filed under the name uncultured bacterium. RNAcentral describes it as "partial 16S ribosomal RNA". It matches the Rfam family "Bacterial small subunit ribosomal RNA", at positions 28 to 507 of the family's 1533-position model. The record is from RNAcentral.